UCCGAAGGGGGCUAGCGUUGCUCGGAUUUACUGGGCGUAAAGCGCACGUAGGCGGGUCGUUAAGUCGGGGGUGAAAUCCCGGAGCUCGACUCCGGAACUGCCUUCGAUACUGGCGAUCUCGAGUCCGGGAGAGGUGAGUGGAAUUCCGAGUGUAGAGGUGAAAUUCGUAGAUAUUCGGAAGAACACCAGUGGCGAAGGCGGCUCACUGGCCCGGUACUGACGCUGAGGUGCGAAAGCGUGGGGAGAAAACAGG
This 253-nucleotide ribosomal RNA is filed under the name uncultured bacterium. RNAcentral describes it as "partial 16S ribosomal RNA". It matches the Rfam family "Bacterial small subunit ribosomal RNA", at positions 524 to 776 of the family's 1533-position model. The record is from RNAcentral.